This 483-nucleotide ribosomal RNA is filed under the name uncultured bacterium. RNAcentral's name for it is "partial 16S ribosomal RNA". It matches the Rfam family "Bacterial small subunit ribosomal RNA", at positions 29 to 506 of the family's 1533-position model. The record is from RNAcentral.
AUUGAACGCUGGCGGCAUGCUUUACACAUGCAAGUCGAACGGCAGCGCGGGCUUCGGCCUGGCGGCGAGUGGCGAACGGGUGAGUAAUACAUCGGAACGUGCCCAGUAGUGGGGGAUAGCUCGGCGAAAGCCGGAUUAAUACCGCAUACGACCUGAGGGUGAAAGCGGGGGAUCUUCGGACCUCGCGCUAUUGGAGCGGCCGAUGGCAGAUUAGCUAGUUGGUGGGGUAAAGGCCUACCAAGGCGACGAUCUGUAGCCGGUCUGAGAGGACGACCAGCCACACUGGGACUGAGACACGGCCCAGACUCCUACGGGAGGCAGCAGUGGGGAAUUUUGGACAAUGGGCGAAAGCCUGAUCCAGCAAUGCCGCGUGUGUGAUGAAGGCCUUCGGGUUGUAAAGCACUUUUGGCGGGAACGAAAAGGACUGUGCCAAUACCACGGUUCGAUGACGGUACCCGCAGAAUAAGCACCGGCUAACUACGU